Equus caballus (horse) is the source of this 3083-nucleotide non-coding RNA. The record is from RefSeq and is a predicted model, not a curated record. Lineage: Eukaryota; Metazoa; Chordata; Mammalia; Perissodactyla; Equidae.
GCGGGGCCGCCCCACGCCCCGCCCCCAUUAACCCUCGCUGGCCCGCGGCCCCCUGAAUGACCGAGCUCCGAGGAGAGGGGGCGGCCACAGCGGCCUCGCGACACCCGUCCCCGGCCGCGCGGGAGGGGCGGGAUGAAUGCGGGCAGGCACCGCGUGGUCCACCCACCUCUCCGUUUCUCGCCGUGUGAGUGGCUCCCCGCCCCUCCCUCGCCUCCGCCGGGUUUUUCGGAGGCUUUCUCGUGGGCUGUGGUCCCGAGUCGUGGCUCCCAAGGGCAGCUCCGCCACUGUCUUUGGCCACGCCAGUCGGGGACGCCGUGCUUCCGGAUGAGGAGAGGAGGCAGCGAGCUGGAGCGCGCAGGACCCUGGUCACGGUCACCCUGCCCCAUCCCAGACCCGCUGUAGGGACCCAAAGUAAGGGUCCCGACUGCCCUGACGGGGAUGGGGCGCGGACAGCAGUCCUCCUCCUUAAGGACUUCUGCCGCUGUAGCGUUGGACAGCGCCGACCUGGGGGUCGGGGGAGGCGCCACGAGGAAUGUUUUUCAAAAGGAGACUUCAUAUCAGGAACAUAAAUAGAAGGUGCCGUAAAAUAAACAUCAGAUGGUCUUGGCUUCUUGUCCUGUUUGGAGGCAUCAGACUAACUCUAAGGAGCGUCCCUGGAACCCUCCAUGGCCUUCGUCCCCCCUGCACCCCGAAUGCUGCCCGUCCCUUUGCUGUAACUGGAAGGCCACCCAGGCCUGCCCCGGAGCCCAGCGGGACACUGGGCGCCCACAGGAUGACAUUAGUCCCCACUCGGACCUGGGGAGGGGCGUACAGGUGAGUGCACCCAGGUCACACCCCUGCGGCUCUUCUGAGCCCAGCGCGGGACGCCAGGCCUCCCUGGCUGAGGCCCAAGCUCCAGGGCCUGUUGGAAACGCUUCCACCCAGCAGGGGGAGGCCAGACCACCCUGGAGUGACACAGGGGCUUCCAGACAAGGUGGUCCCACUGGCCGGGGCUUGAAGACGGCUACUGGAACCCCGAGCACACAGGAUCAGGGGUAUGAGGGUCACCGGAGAGUCCUCCAGGUAGCAGCUGCUCACGGCCACGGCCCCCACAGGCCCUCAGGGCCUGGCUGGCCAGCAGUUUUGGUGUUUGGCCCACACGACGCCCUCAGGGACCCCGACUCCACUCCCUUUGCACUUCCUGUUUCUCCAGCUGUAGUGACCCCUCUCUCCUGUGGAAGAGCAUGGCCGCUGUGAGCCAGCCUCGGGGAGAGACAGUGCUCUUGGCAGGGGGAGGGGUGGGCCCUGCAUUGUGCCCUUCCCUGGUGAGGGGCCCUGGGGCCUGGCGUCGGGGGAGGGGUGCCUAUUGUGGGAGCAGAGCUCCAUUCUCACCAGAUCUGGGCUCUGAGAAGCCGGCAGGUCCUCACUUCAAGGGGACACCAAGCCCCAGCUCCUCUCUGCUGGGCUGGCCAGAGAGGAGUGGCCUUUCUCAAAGUGCCGUCCUCUGCCUCCCUGACAGGUGCCUCCUCUCCUCUGCAGGGGCCUCAGCUUGCCACUGGACCAGAUGCACUGUGGCCUGGGCGUGUGUGUGACUUGGGACAGGGGAGGAGGUGGCCUCCAGGCACCUAUAGCAGGGACCACCAGUGUAAGGGGCAAACCUGAGAGGAGACGCCCCACAGACCCCUGGCCCAGGGCAUGGUGGCCAAGAUGCUGGGAAGGAAAGCAGCGAGGACACCGGCCAAGGAUGCUGGCCGUACCCCAGGGCGGGCCUGUGCCACCUCAGGCCCUGGACCCACCUGUUACAAUGAUGACAGGCACCCCCUGUGCUGGGUGACGCCACUUCGGUUGUGCAGCAGGAGCCUUUGCUCACCGCAGCCGUCUCCUUUUCUUUAGCAGAAAAACAUCACACGUGCCACACCCAUUCUUGUUAAGAAAGCUUCUACUCUGCCAUCCUUGAUCUUUGGGAGCUUGAGUUCCGCAGGCCUGUCUUUCCACAAAGCUGACCGGGGAGUUGCAGCCUCACCCUGCUUGGUCCACAGCUGAGGGAGGAGAGGGAUCCUGGAGGGACCGGGAGAGGGCGCCUUCGGCCGGCCCCGCUCCGCUGCAGCCUCAGAAAUGACUCUUCUCUCCCGUCGGUGUGGAGAAUUGGGAGAAACCUCUCUGUUCUUCUGAUGCUGUAAACUGCUUUUGGACGUGCAGUUUGCACAAAGCUGACGUCGCCAACACCUGGCCUGCCAAGAGUGGAAUCCGUCACCCCUGAAUCCAGCAUUCUGACGAGUCUGUGGCGUCUUGCCCUGACAGUACUAUCCAAACCGACAUCUCUCUUUUCUGAAGGGCACCUGUGCGAUUUCCUUGUGAAGCCAGAAGAAAGCUCUGGAAUUUCCUUCUUCUCCCUUUGUGCAAAAAGUUAUGCUAAACCUCAUAAUUUUGUUGGUUUUCUUAGAGUCGAAAGUCUCUAUGUCCUUUCACCCAACACAGUCUGUUUUUUUCUUGAACGGGUUAUCAGAGCAUUACUCCCCUGAGAGACACUCGUCAGUCAGCUCUGCUGUGGCCAAUGGCUGGCUGUCCUGUUCACCCUUGCGUCCCAGCUCCUCUGCAGAGCUGCAGUCCACACAGCUGCGGUGUGGGCACGCAAUACAUACGUGUCGAUGCAGAACGUGUUGAUGCAGAAAGUAGCAGAAUCUACUCACUUGUCAUUCAGUUACUUUUAAAUGUUCGGGCCUGCCAGGCAGAGAGAACUGGGAAAGAAUAUGGAAUGCCUCCACCAUCUAAGCCCAGUGGUCCAUUCUCAGCCCCACUCUCCCUGACCUCACUGACCGUGCCCUCCCCUUGGGCCUCCUCUCCCUCCCUUCCGUGUCAGCAGCUCCCGGGCGCAGCCUGCCUCUCACCAUCCAGGUGUUACUGCAUUUUGGGGUGGCUGUUGCCCUCUUUACAUUUCUCUUAGCUCAGUCACCCAUUUAAAAUGACGCUUUCUAUGUUUUAUAUGGAUUUUCCACUGACUCAUUGAGAAAGUCUUUCAAGGGAUCAAAUCCACCUUGUUGCUGAAAAUGGGACUUUUUUUUUUGCAGGGGAAGAUUCACCCUAAGCUACCAUCUGUUGCCAGU